ACGCUCGACACCUACGUGAGGCAGCAGUGGGGAAUAUUGCACAACGGGGGAAACCCUGAUGCAGCGACGCCGCGUGAGCGAAGAAGUAUUUCGGUAUGUAAAGCUCUAUCAGCAGGGAAGAUAAUGACGGUACCUGACUAAGAAGCUCCGGCUAAAUACGUGCAGCAGCCGCGGUAAUCUGAGGCGGGCUGGCAAGGC
Molecule: ribosomal RNA, 198 nt
Filed under: uncultured bacterium
Lineage: Bacteria
Description: partial 16S ribosomal RNA
Rfam family: Bacterial small subunit ribosomal RNA
Source: RNAcentral